This is a long non-coding RNA of Hylaeus anthracinus, 1776 nucleotides long. RefSeq lists it as uncharacterized. The record is from RefSeq and is a predicted model, not a curated record. The transcript has 3 exons. Lineage: Eukaryota; Metazoa; Arthropoda; Insecta; Hymenoptera; Colletidae.
UCUAUAUAUGUUUUUUGUAAGAUUUCAUGAGAUCUGCAAGGAGAAAAAGUUUUAGUUCAAAAUGUUCAUUGUUAAGACAGCUACAAGCCAUGGAAGGGGGCUAAGCCGUGGGAAUUCUCAAAGUAGUCAUUCCUCCAUUUUUUAAAAAUUGGCUCUUCAGUUUAGAGAAAAACUUUAUACAUGUUUUCUGUAAGGUUCCAUGAGAUCUACAAGAAAAAAAAGUUUCAAUCCAAAAUGUUUAUUAUUAACAGAGCUACGAAUUUGUAAAGAUUGCACCGAUAAGAACUGGUAAUGUUCUUGAGUAAAUGAGGAUGAUGCAAUCGCGGUCAGGUGACGUGUUUGGAAAUCGCGUUGGCCAAUCGUCGUUUUGCCCAGUAAUCAUUACCUAGAAUCGAAUCGGUGGAUUUUAAGGUCACGGGGCCGCUGAAUUUAAUGGGAACACCGUUACGAUGUCCAAGGUUGGCGAAUUGUGGUGCACGCAUCACUUACAGGCAUGCAUUGAUAUAUUUCAUUGAAAUGUCUCCAAUGCUGUCAACAUGGUUUCUUUUUAUUAAAAAUGUAGCGAGUACUCUUAUGAUUGAAAAGAAUCACGUUACCUGAUGUUUUAUGAUAUUUUAAUUUUGAUGCCGAAUGAGUAAUUGGAUUUGCAUUAUGUUCAGCUUGAAUUGCAAAGUAUUCCUCAAAAUACUGUAAAAUUUUCUUUUUUAAAUCUCCACUAUGAAUAGAGUUAUAAUUUUGAUUCUUUUCCUCGGCAUUAAUAUCGUGCAAAAUAGAAAGAUUCUGUUAUAUAUUAUAUAUUAUAUCUGUAUAUAUGUAUGCAUCCGUUAACCAAUUAAUUGAUUAAUUGUGAACGCACGCGAAGAACACGAGAUAUCAACGGGCGAGGCGAAGAGACGUUCGCGAAGCAGAAUAGAGGGGAAGGAAAAGCGUUCGCCAUACUUUGGGCGUGGACUGUUGAACAUUAAGCUCUUUCAUUGGACGAGAGAUCGACCUGGUGCAACGACUUGCACGCGCCAGCCCAGUAAGCAUUUUUCCUCAAUUCCCAGUCAAUUAUCGCAUCAACUGGAGAGGCUGCACCGCGCAGGAACUUCGACGACCCCAACUGCAACCCUUUAGGAGCGCUUCUGCCCCUUUUUUUAUUAACUUAUUGUCGCAAGAAAUUUUUGGGAAAUAUCAUUGGUUAUCACGUAAGCUUAUAUUCUUCAAUCUAUUAGAUUGAUUCACAUUAUUUACAAAUACAAAGGAAUUGUUAAUACUUGUAUAAUGUAGAUAAAAGAGGUUACGUAGUGAAUACUAGGAAUGUGUUUGUAUUUUCGAGGAGAACAUUAGGCGAAUAGGUCCUUCUCACGAGGUGGCUGUUGAAAGCCGAGUCGCUCAAGUAAAUAAACAGAAGGAGUUUCCCAGGGAUCGAUCGAGACCGAUAUAAAUGCUUCCUACGUGAUGCGUGGAACGAUUCGGAGAAACGAACUGGCGAUACGUGCCUUUGAUUAUGUAAUACGAGACUGCGUGAUUUAGGCAGGACGCUGAUAACGACCACAGACUGUGUGGCUUACGUUUCUUCCGCUCCUUCAAAUUGCUCGAUGACCUACUAGUCAUUCAUUUUUAAAAUAUCGGAUUGUCGCUUUAGAGGAAAACUUUCUAUAUAUUUUUCGUAGGGUUGCAUGCGAUCUACGAGGAAAAAAAGUUUCAAUCAAUAAUAUUCUUUAUUAAGAGAAAUAUGAGUUCUGGAAGGAGGCCAACCCUUGCGAAUUCUCAAAUAAGCCAUUCCUCCAUUUU